GAUGAACGCUGGCGGCGUGCCUAAUACAUGCAAGUCGAGCGAACAGAUGAGGAGCUUGCUCCUCUGACGUUAGCGGCGGACGGGUGAGUAACACGUGGAUAACCUACCUAUAAGACUGGGAUAACUUCGGGAAACCGGAGCUAAUACCGGAUAAUAUAUUGAACCGCAUGGUUCAAUAGUGAAAGACGGUUUUGCUGUCACUUAUAGAUGGAUCCGCGCCGCAUUAGCUAGUUGGUAAGGUAACGGCUUACCAAGGCAACGAUGCGUAGCCGACCUGAGAGGGGGGUGGACAAAAAGGGACAGAAGACAGGGGCAAGACACCUCGGGGAGGAGCAGGAGGGGAACCUUCGGAAAUGACGGAAAGCCGAACGGAGAAAUGCGGAGGGAUGAAUGAAGUGUUACGGAACGAAGAACUCUGUGAUGGGGGAGGAACAAAGGGGUAAGGAAAAAUGCACGGCGUGACGGUACCUAAUCAGAAAGCGACGGCUAACUACGUG
This 497-nucleotide ribosomal RNA is filed under the name uncultured bacterium. Its description in RNAcentral is "partial 16S ribosomal RNA". It matches the Rfam family "Bacterial small subunit ribosomal RNA", at positions 28 to 507 of the family's 1533-position model. The record is from RNAcentral.